CUCGGCAUUGCUCCUUGAAGCCAUCUUUACAGCUGACCUAUUGGAUUCCACGAAAGACACUCUGUUGGUCCUGCGAUCCUAACUAUUCCGUUAGAUCCUGGAAAAGGUAUCUAGCUAUGGUUGAGUUGGCUGAGUAGAAGGGAUAUUUCAUCGAUAGCCUGUUCACGAAGGAAAGUAUCGAAGAGUUUUCAUUCUUUCAUAUGGGAUUACUACAGCAAAGAAAUAACUCAGGGAAGCUAUUUGAUGGAAGGAUUCAUGAUCGAACCAGACGAUAUAAGUCGUUUUUGAGAAUCAAUAGGUAAAGGGAUCACAAAUGGAUAUGCAAUAGAACAGGUCCUGGCCUCAUAUUUACUUAUUACUUUACAGUAUGCAUUCAAGUGCCCAAGCAUGAAUGGUCAUUUCACAUGUUCAUUAAGAACUUUCAACAUCUUCGCUGCUAAAUUUUCUGAAAGAUCAUUCCAUCACAAAGAAAAAUAGGGGUUUCUUGAAGGGUAAGGCUUCUGAACCGAAGAUAGGAAGAAAAAAAACUUCUGACAGACGUGAUCUAUAUAAUCCAUCAUUUUGUUUCACUUGACAGAGAUAAAAUUGUUUCCUAGGAGACAGAUUAGUCUAGUACCAUCUUCUCUACACGAAAAGAAUUCAUUACCUCGGGUUAGAAUUUCCUUUAACCACUUUUUGACCAUAUUUCCGCCAUCUGUAGCCAUCGUCUAGAAGAUCAACUUCACUUGUGGUCUGCACAAUUAUCCUUGGUUCUGUGACUGUUCUUUGAGAAGAACUUGAUUCAAUAGCACCGGUUUGUAAUUUCCUGUUCCAUUAAUCAAGAUUUACUUAGAAAUACAUGUUCCAUAUAAGUAACCUGUCAGGCGCUAGCUAAAUAUAAAAAUAAUAAAAAAAGUACCUCCGUUUCGGAUCAAGCUCAGCAUCACACCCUUCAGCUGUUCUUUCUUCAAAAUCAUCUACUUCCUCGUCAUCACCUGAGCCAGAUGGCUGUUCGGAUGAUGCAUGCAGAGGCUCCUGAUCUCUUCUAUAUGCUGGAUUGGUUGGCACCUGCUCAGUUAAUCUAUGCAUCUUUCUCGCCUGACUUUGAAAACCCACAUCAUCUUGAAAACCUGCUUCUGAAUUAUCACCCAGGUUCAUGUUCCCAUUGGGCUCACCUAAACCACCUUCCCUGGAACGCUUAUUGGCGGGGGGGCGCUGGUGGUUGUGUUCCCCCUUAUAUAUAAUUUCUGUAACCUGCCCAUCAAGAGACCUUUCAACUUUUUUCUUCACAGGACAUUUCGAGUGAGUGCACUUGUAAUAACUCCUAGGGCACUCACUGCCCUUGACAACCUUCUGCCCAUAUUUCCUCCAGUUGUAGCCGUCGUCAGAGGGUUUGUCAAUGACGAUAGAUGCAGCUUGAGCUCUCUGUCUAGACUGAGAACCCUCUGCUGUUUCUGAGACUGACGUCGAAGCUUUUUUUUGUUCUAACAGAGAAGAACCGACAGCAGAGCUAUUGGGAUGUGCCCAAGAGGCAUCGGCUGAGGUUUCUACGGGCAUCUGCACAUGGGAAGUAGAAUGCGCUACCUGAGAAGCCUGAGCAGUGACGUGCGCCAGUGCCUCUUGGUGUGAGAUCCCAAAGGGUCCCUGCGAG
This 1630-nucleotide long non-coding RNA is filed under the name Spirodela polyrhiza (greater duckweed). RNAcentral describes it as "long non-coding RNA (SPOL_LNC001585)". The record is from RNAcentral. Lineage: Eukaryota; Viridiplantae; Streptophyta; Magnoliopsida; Alismatales; Araceae.